GACGUAUUGUAUUUUCGAAUUCAGAAUCAAGCCAAAUUUUCAAGAUGCGUACUAUCAUCGUUUUGACACUGUGUUUUGUCGUUAUCUUGGCUCUAACUGUUUCGGGAGUUCAAAGUGGAAAUGGAACAGCAACUAAUGGGACCGGAACAGCAAA
Gigantopelta aegis is the source of this 154-nucleotide long non-coding RNA. RefSeq lists it as uncharacterized. The record is from RefSeq and is a predicted model, not a curated record. The transcript is spliced from 4 exons. Lineage: Eukaryota; Metazoa; Mollusca; Gastropoda; Neomphalida; Peltospiridae.